RNAcentral lists this ribosomal RNA (567 nucleotides) under uncultured Actinomycetes bacterium. RNAcentral's name for it is "bacterial SSU rRNA". It matches the Rfam family "Bacterial small subunit ribosomal RNA", at positions 338 to 916 of the family's 1533-position model. The record is from RNAcentral. Lineage: Bacteria; Bacillati; Actinomycetota; Actinomycetes.
CCUACGGGAGGCAGCAGUGGGGAAUAUUGGGCAAUGGGCGCAAGCCUGACCUAGCAACGCCGCGUGAGGGAUGAAGGCCUUCGGGUUGUAAACCUCUUUCAGUAGGGAAGAAGCGAAAGUGACGGUACCUAAAGAAGAAGCACCGGCUAACUAUGUGCCAGCAGCCGCGGUAAUACAUAGGGUGCAAGCGUUGUCCGGAAUUAUUGGGCGUAAAGAGCUCGUAGGUCGUUUGCCGCGUCGAUUGUGAAAAUCUGAGGCUCAACCUCAGACCUGCAGUCGAUACGGGCAAACUAGAGUGUGGUAGGGGAGACUGGAAUUCCUGGUGUAGCGGUGGAAUGCGCAGAUAUCAGGAGGAACACCAAUGGCGAAGGCAGGUCUCUGGGCCAUAACUGACACUGAGGAGCGAAAGCGCGGGGAGCGAACAGGAUUAGAUACCCUGGUAGUCCGCGCCGUAAACGGUGGGCACUAGCUGUGAGGACCUUCCACGGUCUUCGCGACGCAGCAAACGCAUUAAGUGCCCCGCCUGGGGAGUACGAUCGCAAGAUUAAAACUCAAAGGAAUUGACGG